RNAcentral lists this ribosomal RNA (589 nucleotides) under uncultured Ochrobactrum sp. RNAcentral's name for it is "bacterial SSU rRNA". It matches the Rfam family "Bacterial small subunit ribosomal RNA", at positions 338 to 916 of the family's 1533-position model. The record is from RNAcentral. Lineage: Bacteria; Pseudomonadati; Pseudomonadota; Alphaproteobacteria; Hyphomicrobiales; Brucellaceae.
CCUACGGGAGGCAGCAGUGGGGAAUAUUGGACAAUGGGCGCAAGCCUGAUCCAGCAAUGCCGCGUGUGUGAAGAAGGCCUUCGGGUUGUAAAGCACUUUUAUCAGGAGCGAAAUGCCGCGGGCUAAUACCCUGCGGAGCUGACGGUACCUGAGGAAUAAGCACCGGCUAACUUCGUGCCAGCAGCCGCGGUAAUACGAAGGGUGCAAGCGUUAAUCGGAAUUACUGGGCGUAAAGCGUGCGUAGGCGGUUACUUAAGUCUGCUGUGAAAUCCCUGGGCUCAACCUGGGAAUGGCGGUGGAUACUGGGUAGCUAGAGUGUGAUAGAGGAUGGUGGAAUUCCCGGUGUAGCGGUGAAAUGCGUAGAGAUCGGGAGGAACACCAGUGGCGAAGGCGGCCAUCUGGAUCAACACUGACGCUGAGGCACGAAAGCGUGGGGAGCAAACAGGAUUAGAUACCCUGGUAGUCCACGCCCUAAACGAUGCGAACUGGACGUUGGUCUCAACUUGGAGAUCAGUGUCGAAGCUAACGCGUUAAGUUCGCCCGCCUGGGGAGUACGGUCGCAAGACUGAAACUCAAAUGAAUUUGACGG